This 305-nucleotide ribosomal RNA is filed under the name uncultured bacterium. Its description in RNAcentral is "partial 16S ribosomal RNA". It matches the Rfam family "Bacterial small subunit ribosomal RNA", at positions 508 to 807 of the family's 1533-position model. The record is from RNAcentral.
ACAGCAGUCGCCGCGGUAAUACAGAGGAUGCAAGCGUUAUCCGGAAUGAUUGGGCGUAAAGUGUCUAUAGGUGGCUUUUCAAGUCCGCCGUCAAAUCCCAGGGCUCAACCGUGGACAGGCGGUGGAAACUACCAAGCUGGAGUACGGUAGAGGCAGAGGGAAUUUCCGAUGGAGCGGUGAAAUGCGUUGAGAUCGGAAAGAACACCAACGGAGAAAGCACUCUGCUGGGCCGACACUGACACUGAGAGACGAAAUCUAGGGGAGCAAAUGGGAUUAGAUACCCCGGUAGUCCCUGUCUCUUAUAC